CGAAAGAGAGUCUGAACAGGGCGUAUCGUAAGUUAUAGUAGACCCGAAACCGUAGUGAUCUAUCCAUGGCCAGGUUGAAGCACAGGUAAAAUUGUGUGGAGGACCGAACUCGUGAGCGUUGAAAAGCUUUGGGAUGAGUUGUGGAUAGGGGUGAAAUGCCAAUCGAACACGGAGAUAGCUGGUUCUCCCCGAAAUAGCUUUAGGGCUAGCCUCGAGGUAGAGAGUAUAGACGGUAGAGCACUGAUCGGGCUAGGGGCCAUACCGGUUACCGAACCUAGUCAAACUACGAAUGGCUAUACUUAUACUCGGGAGUCAGACAGUGAAUGAUAAGGUCCAUUGUCAAGAGGGAAACAGCCCAGAACACCGACUAAGGUCCCCAAUGUUACACUAAGUGGCGAAGGAUGUGGAAUUUCCAAAACAACCAGGAUGUUGGCUUAGAAGCAGCCACCAUUUAAAGAGUGCGUAAUAGCUCACUGGUCGAGAGACUCUGCGCCGAAAAUGUCCGGGGCUAAAGUGUAAAACCGAAGUCGUGUCAUAUGCAGCAAUGUAUAUGGGUAGGGGAGCGUUCUCAUCGGGCUGAAGCAGUACCGUAAGGAGUUGUGGACUGAUGAGAAGUGAGAAUGUCGGUAUGAGUAGCGAAAAGAAUGGUGAGAAUCCAUUCCACCGAAAGCCUAAGGGUUCCUGAGCAACGAUCGUCGUCUCAGGGUAAGUCGGGACCUAAGCCGAGGCGGAAAAGCGUAGGCGAUGGACAACAGGUUGAAAUUCCUGUACCGGUGUGAAUCGUUUGAUCGAUGGAGUGACACAGUAAGGUAGGUCAGCACGCGAUUGGAAGAGCGUGUUUAAGCAGGUAGGUUGAGCUAUAGGCAAAUCCGUAGCUCUAAAAGCUGAGAUGUGAUGACGAGUGACUAGCAAUAGUCGCGAAGUGAUUGAUCCUACACUGUCGAGAAAAGCUUCUAGGUAGAGACACAUCGCCCGUACCAAAACCGACACAGGUAGGCGGGGAGAGAAUCCUAAGGUGCGCGGGAAAACCCUCGUUAAGGAACUCGGCAAAAUGCCUCCGUAACUUCGGGAAAAGGAGGACUCAUGUAGUGUGAAGAGCAGAAGCGCUUGGAGCAUGAAUGAGUGGCACAAGAGAGGCGCAAGCGACUGUUUACCACAAACACAGGUGCCUGCUAAAGCGAAAGCUGAUGUAUAGGUGCUGACACCUGCCCGGUGCUGGAAGGUUAAGAGGAGGGGUUAGACUUCGGUCGAAGCUCUGAAUUGAAGCCCCAGUAAACGGCGGCCGUAACUAUAACGGUCCUAAGGUAGCGAAAUUCCUUGUCGGGUAAGUUCCGACCCGCACGAAAGGUGUAACGACUUGCGCACUGUCUCAACGAGGGACCCGGUGAAAUUGAAGUACCUGUGAAGAUGCAGGUUACCCGCGACUGGACAGAAAGACCCCAUGGAGCUUUACUGCAACCUAAGAUUGAACUUAGUUAAUGAAUGUACAGGAUAGGUGGGAGACUUAGAACCUAGGACGCCAGUUUUAGGGGAGUCGCUGUUGGGAUACCACCCUUUCAUUAAUUGAUUUCUAACGGGCCGAGUAACGACCGGCCGGACAGUCUUAGGCGGGCAGUUUGACUGGGGCGGUCGCCUCCAAAAGAGUAACGGAGGCGCCCAAAGGUUCCCUCAGAGCGGACGGAAAUCGCUCGAAGAGUGUAAAGGCAGAAGGGAGCUUGACUGCGAGACGGACAGGUCGAGCAGGGACGAAAGUCGGGCUUAGUGAUCCGGUGGUGCCGAGUGGAAGGGCCAUCGCUCAACGGAUAAAAGCUACCCUGGGGAUAACAGGCUAAUCUCUCCCAAGAGUCCAUAUCGACGGGGAGGUUUGGCACCUCGAUGUCGGCUCAUCACAUCCUGGGGCUGAAGUAGGUCCCAAGG
RNAcentral lists this ribosomal RNA (1917 nucleotides) under human gut metagenome. RNAcentral describes it as "bacterial LSU rRNA". It matches the Rfam family "Bacterial large subunit ribosomal RNA", at positions 672 to 2570 of the family's 2925-position model. The record is from RNAcentral.